CUCACAGAGUUGCUGUGAAUUGUAUAACCAACUCAGAUCACAGCCAGCUUUGAUGAGCU
RNAcentral lists this microRNA precursor (59 nucleotides) under Magallana gigas (Pacific oyster). RNAcentral describes it as "Mgi-Mir-2-o58b_pre stem-loop". The record is from RNAcentral. Lineage: Eukaryota; Metazoa; Mollusca; Bivalvia; Ostreida; Ostreidae.